Molecule: ribosomal RNA, 497 nt
Filed under: uncultured bacterium
Lineage: Bacteria
Description: partial 16S ribosomal RNA
Rfam family: Bacterial small subunit ribosomal RNA
Source: RNAcentral
GAUGAACGCUGGCGGCGUGCCUAAUACAUGCAAGUCGAGCGAACGGACGAGAAGCUUGCUUCUCUGAUGUUAGCGGCGGACGGGUGAGUAACACGUGGAUAACCUACCUAUAAGACUGGGAUAACUUCGGGAAACCGGAGCUAAUACCGGAUAAUAUUUUGAACCGCAUGGUUCAAAAGUAAAAGACGGUCUUGCUGUCACUUAUAGAUGGAUCCGCGCUGCAUUAGCUAGUUGGUAAGGUAACGGCUUACCAAGGCAACGAUGCAUAGCCGACCUGAGAGGGUGACCGGCCACACUGGAACUGAGACACGGUCCAGACUCCUACGGGAGGCAGCAGUAGGGAAUCUUCCGCAAUGGGCGAAAGCCUGACGGAGCAACGCCGCGUGAGUGAUGAAGGUCUUCGGAUCGUAAAACUCUGUUAUUAGGGAAGAACAUAUGUGUAAGUAACUGUGCACAUCUUGACGGUACCUAAUCAGAAAGCCACGGCUAACUACGUG